This 1149-nucleotide long non-coding RNA is filed under the name Hordeum vulgare. RNAcentral describes it as "long non-coding RNA (HVUL_LNC004691)". The record is from RNAcentral. Lineage: Eukaryota; Viridiplantae; Streptophyta; Magnoliopsida; Poales; Poaceae.
GGAUGGCCACACGACCUCCAUCAUGUGGCUCCCCAGGUUGGAUAAGAGCACCGUCCACCGGCCUCUCUCUCUCUUUUGAACCCUAGUCCCCCCAACCUCUGCUACAGGUUUAUCUCGUUCCCCCUCGAACACGAUCUGGUGAAGGAGCGAUGAUACAGUUGCCACUCCAUCAUCGCUGUCGCGGCCAUCAUCGUCUUCUCCGCAUGGGAGGACGUCCAGGAGGCCCGUCGUGGCCGGUUUUGUCCACCCCGAGCACCGAAUCGAGCAGAAUCGUUUCGUGCACUCACCAUUGAGCUGAUCUUCUUCGCAUACAUCGUCAACGUCCGCCGUUGUUUGCCACUGGUCUGGUCCUUCCCAGGCCACCCCGACCACGACCAUGAGUNUCCUGCUAGCUGCUAUGCUUUGCAGGGGCCAUGGCUGUGUGCGUGAGCGUGAGUGUGUGUGCGCUAUGUGUGAGCGUGAGAGUGUGUGUACAAUUAGUUUGGACUAAUUUUAUAUUAGUUAGGAGUUAACUUGCUAGUUUAGUUAGUGUGUCAAUGACAUGUGGACCCCAAUGCCUAAAAUAACCUUUCACCUAAAAUAUGUCACUCGCGUUCAGGUCCCACAAGCACUAUUUCCCUUUUUGACGAGUCAACUUGACUUGUCAAUUCGGAUUAUGUAAAUGCUGAAAAUUUCAGAAAUUCGAUAAAAUUUGAAAAAAUCAUAUAAAAUAAACGUAACUCGGAUGAAAAUAAAUUAUAUAUCACAAAUUAUCAGAAAAAUAGGAUGAAUCCGACUAUGUCAUCCAUAUGUGUGUGAGCCCCCUCUAACAUUGUGAACAUGAACAUUUUGUAUUAGGAUCAUCUGUCCGAAAAAUACCUGGAGCCGGGAAAAUAUUGCCACAUAUUUUCCCCUUCUUUUAAAAUGCUUAGUGAUGCAUUAGAGCAUGUUACCCACACAUAUUACCGUGCCAUUGCAUUUGUGUAUCAUUAGAUUGCUUGGUCAUUUACUUGUUUCCCCCUUAAUCAUUCAUAUAUUGCCUAUUAUUUCCGAUCUUGAUCUAGAUACUGCGAUAGACCCCAAGACCGAUGUCGAUCCGGUGAUCGACUACUUCACCAUCGAGGGUCCAUAUGUAUUCGUGGAGCAACCAGGCAAGCAAACCCCCUUAAU